UGAGUUGGUUAGGCAAUCGCUGGUUUAUUGAAGCCCUCAAAUUCGCUAUGCGUAAACUAGGGGACAAGUGAACGAGAGGAAAGUCCGAGCUACACAGGGCAGAGUGCCAGGUAACACCUGGGGGGCGUGAGCCCACGACAAGUGCAACAGAGAGCAGACCGCCACUUCUUAUUUCCUCCGAAGAAGUGGUAAGGGUGAAAGGGUGUGGUAAGAGCACACCGCGUGAUUGGUAACAAUUCACGGCAAGGUAAACUCCACUCGUAGCAAGACCAAAUAGGAAUCCAACGAGUUGCCCGCUUGGGAUUCGGGUAGGUUGCUUGAGCGUAUAUGUGAAUAUACGCCUAGAGGAAUGAUUGCCCACGACAGAACUCGGCUUAUCGACCAACUCACUUU
RNAcentral lists this RNase P RNA (393 nucleotides) under Pasteurellaceae bacterium Orientalotternb1. Its description in RNAcentral is "RNase P RNA component class A". It matches the Rfam family "Bacterial RNase P class A". Rfam says of the family: Ribonuclease P (RNase P) is a ubiquitous endoribonuclease, found in archaea, bacteria and eukarya as well as chloroplasts and mitochondria. Its best characterised activity is the generation of mature 5'-ends of tRNAs by cleaving the 5'-leader elements of precursor-tRNAs. Lineage: Bacteria; Pseudomonadati; Pseudomonadota; Gammaproteobacteria; Pasteurellales; Pasteurellaceae. The record is from RNAcentral.